CCUACAGAGUUUGAGAAGACUGAGGUGCCAUUGAGAAGAUCUUCUAGAGAUAGAACAGGUCCCAAAAAGCUAUCAGAUUCAAAUUUAGGGAACCCUUUAGUUACAGUUAUGCACUCAAUUUUAACUGGGUUAGAUAAAGCUUUCUCUCAAACUCGUACUCUCUCAGUUAUGUGUUUUAACUGCAUAUCAUUAUUGUCCAGCAGAUGGCAGUAGUGGUGCUACAGAGGAGUGAAACCAAUACUCAGAAAUGAGUAGAAUAAUAAUAAAAAAGCGGGAGUGUGCUGAGCUCUACAUGAGGAAAUAACCACAGUGUUAAAUUUAAAAAAUAAGGUUUUAGAGCUAUUUUGCUAGUUUCUACACAGAAAUCAUAUUUUAUACGGCAUCACGAGGGAAGAGGCAUUUUAGUACUGAAGAGGAUAUGUGGAUUUUUCUAUUUUCUCCGGUUGUUUUUUUGUAUGCAUGAUUUGAUACGGCCAUUGGAUUCACCGCUAUUGGACAGACAGAAGCACGGCGAAAGAGCAGAGUGUGCGAGGAGUCCUUAUUAUCAGAAACUGUUACAUUUGAUGUGUCUUCCUUUCAUCUCACAAAUAAGCGCUGGAGAUCUCACCACACUAAAAAAUAACACACUACCCGGCACAGUAUAGAGUUGAGUUUUCUUUAAACUCUCUCAAUGGCACACAAAAGGAAGAUGAGAAGCUGCAUCCUAAUGUACACAUAUCUGCUGGUGAUGCCGUCUGGACGGGACGCUCUCUCGUGCUGCAAAAGAGAUUUCGUCAACGGCUCGUCCUCCUUUGAGCUGAGUGACUGUCCAGACCCGGCCUGUGACACGCACUGGAGUGCUGACGAUAUAGUGGUGGUUGAUGAGACCGGAGGGGUGGACGAGUCCAGAGUUCAUUAUGCAGGACCCAAGACCCUCAUUCUGAGAGGAAAACACACUCGUGUUAUUUUCCAGAUGGACUGUGCUUCACUGAAGCACUCUGUGGUAAUGCUUUGUAAGGAUCUCUGUCUGUCUUCAGAAGAAUUCAGCCCGGCUCCUGGACAAUCGCUCCACACACGCCGUCCAGAUAACGCUGCACACAGGAGCACUUAUGAUGGCAUCUUCAUCUUCCUGUCCAUCAUCAUCUUCAUUUUUGCCACCUAGUUUUAUUGGCUCGUUUCUGUGUGUUUCCUGUUGACGACUUUGGGUUCUGCAUCGUGGAGAUGAAACCCAAAGAUGAACCGCAAAAACACCACACAUGGAAACAGAUCAGAACAGAAAUAUAUCCGUCUGCUUAUAAAAUGACAGCAAUAACUAACAAAUCUGAUUAUGUCUGAUUAUGAAUCUUCACAAUGUUUGGUCAGCUUCAGUAACUGAUAAACUGUAGCUGUAUUCAUAGGCAAUUUUCACAAAAACAUAAGAUUUUAAAAUGAAAAUUAAUAAAAACUUUAGUAAUAUGAUCA
Long non-coding RNA from Cyprinus carpio (common carp), 1440 nucleotides. The record is from Ensembl. Lineage: Eukaryota; Metazoa; Chordata; Actinopteri; Cypriniformes; Cyprinidae.